GUGUUUCGGGGGUACACGAGCGGCGAACGGGUGAGUAACACGUGGGUGACCUGGUGCCCUCCACUCUGGGAUAAGCCCGGGAAACUGGGUCUAAUACCGGAUAGGAGUGCCACUGAUCGCAUGGUUGGUGGUGGAAAGUUUUUUCGGUGGGGGAUGGGCGUGCCGCGGCCUAUCAGCUUGUUGGUGGGGUGAUGGCCUACCAAGGCGGUGACGUGGGGUAGCCGGCCUGAGAGGGCGACCGGCCACACUGGGACUGAGACACGGCGUGCCAGACUCCUACGGGAGGCAGCAGUGGGGAAUAUUGCGCAAUGGGCGGAAGUGGCCUGACGCAGCGACGCCGCGUGGGGGAUGACGGCCUUCGGGUUGUAAACGUGCUCUUUCGCCAGGGACGAAGAGCAAUUGACGGUACCUGGAGAAGAAGCACGUGCGGCCAACUACGUGCCAGCAGCCGCGGUAACACGUAGGGUGCGAGCGUUGGUGUCCGGAAUUAUUGGGCGUAAAGAGCUCGUAGGCGGUGUGUCGCGUCGGCCGUGGUGAAAACUUGGGGCUUAACUCUGAGCGUGCGGUCGAUACGGGCAUCACUGUGUGAGUUCGGCAGGGGAGACUGGAAUUCCUGGUGUAGCGGUGAAAUGCGCAGUGGAUAUCAGGAGGAACACCGGUGGCGAAGGCGGGUCUCUGGGCCGAUACUGGUGACGCUGAGGAGCGAAAGCGUGGGGAGCGAACAGGAUUAGAUACCCUGGUAGUGGUCCACGCCGUAAACGUUGGGCGCUAGGUGGUG
This 778-nucleotide ribosomal RNA is filed under the name bacterium SCSIO13246. Its description in RNAcentral is "bacterial SSU rRNA". It matches the Rfam family "Bacterial small subunit ribosomal RNA", at positions 72 to 825 of the family's 1533-position model. The record is from RNAcentral.